Molecule: non-coding RNA, 122 nt
Organism: Picea glauca (white spruce)
Lineage: Eukaryota; Viridiplantae; Streptophyta; Pinopsida; Pinales; Pinaceae
Source: Rfam
UCAUGUAAUGAUGCCUACAAUAUUAAUGCACCAGAUCUCAUUAGAAUUCCACAGUUAAGUGCGCUUGGGCUAGAGUAGUAUAGGCAUGGGCGACCUCCCAGGAAGUCCUAGUGUUUUGCUGU